UACAGAGGCCUCGAGCGUUAGGCGGAAUCCCUGGGCUUAAAGCGUGUGUAGGCGGAUUGCUAAGUACCUUGUGAAAUCCCACGGCUUAACCGUGGAACUGCUUGGUAUACUGGCUGUCUUGAGCCAUCUAGGGGCAACCGGAACAAACGGUGGAGCGGUGAAAUGCGUAGAGAUCGGAAAGAACACCAACGGCGAAAGCACUCUGCUGGGCCGACACUGACACUGAGAGACGAAAGCUAGGGGAGCGAAUGGG
RNAcentral lists this ribosomal RNA (253 nucleotides) under uncultured bacterium. RNAcentral's name for it is "partial 16S ribosomal RNA". It matches the Rfam family "Bacterial small subunit ribosomal RNA", at positions 524 to 776 of the family's 1533-position model. The record is from RNAcentral.